CAGUCGCCGCGGUAAUACGUAGGGUGCAAGCGUUGUCCGGAAUCAUUGGGCGUAAAGCGCGCGUAGGUGGCCAUUUAAGUCCGCUGUGAAAGCCAAAGGCUCAACCUUUGAAAGCCGGUGGAUACUGGAUGGCUAGAGUACGGAAGAGGCGAGUGGAAUUCCUGGUGUAGCGGUGGAAUGCGCAGAUAUCAGGAGGAACACCAAUAGCGAAGGCAGCUCGCUGGGACGUUACUGACACUGAGGCGCGAAAGCGUGGGGAGCGAACAGGAUUAGAUACCCCCGUAGUCCCUGUCUCUUAUAC
Molecule: ribosomal RNA, 301 nt
Filed under: uncultured bacterium
Lineage: Bacteria
Description: partial 16S ribosomal RNA
Rfam family: Bacterial small subunit ribosomal RNA
Source: RNAcentral